UGAAAGUUGCUUAGUGGUUGCCAAAUGGUACCUCAUUAAGCCAAAGGAAUUACUAAGUGGCUUCAGAAAAGAAAAUAAGCCGAAAGAGAAGUGUAUGAAUUAGAUAGUAUCUGCUGUCUUACUUAAAUGGAGUGUGAUACCUAUGCAGUUGUCACAUUUGCUCUGUCUUGGACAACAUUUUCAGGUUUAGAGUAUUCAAGAAAGCCUGGGAUUCUGUUUUCUUACCUACUGCUGAUCCUUCGACAAGCAAGGGCUUGCAACACUGACGGUGACGUACUGCUAUGUUGUCUGAAGCUGUGCGUGGAGUAGACUUGGCUGAAGUUAAACGGGAAGAAUUUUGAGUGCAAUGUUUGGUUCACACGCUGACAAAUUUGUCUUGGACUCAGUGGAAAUGAAGUCUACCUGAGAUCGCUUUGAAGACAACAUUAAAAGGUUACUGCAGAAGAUAUGGAGAUGACAAAGUUUGACAGAUCUGCUACUGAGACACUGCUAAUCACUGAAAAGGUACUCAAAGACACAUAUCAGAAAGUCUUUGGGGACAAUUUCGUUUAAACAAAACAAACAAAAAGAAGUCAGCAAUAAGUAUAUACUGUCUGGGUGAAUAUUUUGGAAAGCAGGGAUAAAUAAUUCAUAAUUUAUAUGAAAUAAAAAGCAGGAGAUUCUGGCUUUGCAGCCAAUGAUGUCAU
Cuculus canorus (common cuckoo) is the source of this 686-nucleotide long non-coding RNA. RefSeq lists it as uncharacterized. Lineage: Eukaryota; Metazoa; Chordata; Aves; Cuculiformes; Cuculidae. The transcript is spliced from 3 exons. The record is from RefSeq and is a predicted model, not a curated record.